AAGCCGUAACAAGGUUUCCGUAGGUGAUCAUUAACACGUAUCCAAACGUUAAAAACCCCCCCCGUGAACAUUCAAUCCUGCUCUUGUAACCCGCGGCGCUUGCAAGCAGUCAGUGUCUGAAAGCGUCAUUGAUUGUGCAAGGAUAGCGCUUCACGAUUCCUGUAGACCAUACACUCGGGCAGGAGCUAGGCCAAAAGGUCACCAUGCCCCCUUACAACCCCAAGUUUAUAGAUAUCUUGGUUCUC
This 245-nucleotide unclassified non-coding RNA is filed under the name fungal sp. RNAcentral describes it as "partial internal transcribed spacer region". The record is from RNAcentral. Lineage: Eukaryota; Fungi.